Molecule: ribosomal RNA, 453 nt
Filed under: Bacillus cereus
Lineage: Bacteria; Bacillati; Bacillota; Bacilli; Caryophanales; Bacillaceae
Description: bacterial SSU rRNA
Rfam family: Bacterial small subunit ribosomal RNA
Source: RNAcentral
CCUGGCUCAGGAUGAACGCUGGCGGCGUGCCUAAUACAUGCAAGUCGAGCGAAUGGAUUAAGAGCUUGCUCUUAUGAAGUUAGCGGCGGACGGGUGAGUAACACGUGGGUAACCUGCCCAUAAGACUGGGAUAACUCCGGGAAACCGGGGCUAAUACCGGAUAACAUUUUGAACCGCAUGGUUCGAAAUUGAAAGGCGGCUUCGGCUGUCACUUAUGGAUGGACCCGCGUCGCAUUAGCUAGUUGGUGAGGUAACGGCUCACCAAGGCAACGAUGCGUAGCCGACCUGAGAGGGUGAUCGGCCACACUGGGACUGAGACACGGCCCAGACUCCUACGGGAGGCAGCAGUAGGGAAUCUUCCGCAAUGGACGAAAGUCUGACGGAGCAACGCCGCGUGAGUGAUGAAGGCUUUCGGGUCGUAAAACUCUGUUGUUAGGGAAGAACAAGUGCUAG